Molecule: transfer RNA, 86 nt
Filed under: Chloroflexota bacterium
Lineage: Bacteria; Bacillati; Chloroflexota
Description: tRNA-Leu
Rfam family: tRNA
About the family: Transfer RNA (tRNA) molecules are approximately 80 nucleotides in length.
Source: RNAcentral
GCGCAUGUGGCGGAAUCGGUAGACGCGCUAGCUUGAGGGGCUAGUGGCCGCUAUAGGCCGUGGGGGUUCGAGUCCCUCCAUGCGCA